AAAAACUGAAGAAAUGCUGAAAAACUUAAAAAAAAGAUAAAAAAAACAAUAAAGAAAGACAGAGAAAAAAACUUGAGGCCUACUUGGAUCUACACCCGUCCCCUUCCGCCCCACAUUUCACAGAAGAAUAAAAAAAGAGCUGCUUUACUCCCGUCCCCUGCCGCCGCCGGCCGGCUGCCCCACCACACUCCCCGACGGAGCUCCGGCGGGGGAGUCGGCGCUCUAGACCGCCCCCCGCCCCCCGCCCCGGACACCCUCGCGCUCCCAUGGCGCCAACCGCUCUGCCGUGCCUGAGCAUUUUCUUUUCCCGCAGACGCCACCGCUGCCGUCCCCGUCUCCGGUAGCUCGCCGCCGCACCGAGAAAGGUAGAAGGAGCUGUAUCAUCAAGAAGAAGAACCAAAGGAGAGGUGGAAAUUCUUCUUAUAACCCAAAUCUGCUGCAAUUUGGAGGUCACAAACCCAAAUCUCUUUUUGUUAUAUUAAGUUACACACCCACACAACCUGUAGCGUCGCCCAUAGGCUUCUCUCUUCUCUCCUGCGACGCAAGGUUGAUUUUCCUCUCAAACAUUUACACAGAAGGAUUACAACAUGUUAAUUAGGAAGUUCAGGAACUCUGUUUCAAACAAAAGUUGUGCUGUGCUGUUUGUUGCUGGUUCAGAAAAGAUCAUAAACUGCCCUGUUUGUCAUCGUCGGUGGCGGUUCGCUCUGGUGAGCAGCAAGACGAGCAUCACGAGAAGGGAGCAGGGUACGAGUGAGGAAGGAGCAGCAGUAUCUUUGCUGCCGCUGCUGCUGCUGUUUCGCUUUCGUCCGUCUCAAGUGUCACAGAACUGGUCGCGUGCAGUACGCCAUGGCCGGGCUACCCUUUGCCCGGCAGGAUACGGUGGCCCGGCAAAGUGGAGGCCUGGUGAGGGUCCCUGCUGGGUGCAGAUACGGCAGGGGAAUGGACGCCGUGUCGACCUCCCAUCGACUUCUGACC
Non-coding RNA from Triticum urartu, 975 nucleotides. Lineage: Eukaryota; Viridiplantae; Streptophyta; Magnoliopsida; Poales; Poaceae. The record is from RefSeq and is a predicted model, not a curated record.